This 31-nucleotide non-coding RNA is filed under the name Rattus norvegicus (Norway rat). The record is from RNAcentral. Lineage: Eukaryota; Metazoa; Chordata; Mammalia; Rodentia; Muridae.
UCCAAUGUUCUGGCCCAGCAGAUGGGGGGGU